AGAAUGAGCCCUUGAGAGCAGAUAUUGGUUUAAUUUUGCCUCCCUGUCACCCAGCUCACUCUGACCCAGGGAAUGCCAUCUCAUGUUUGCCAAAUGAGUCACAGCUCAGGCUGUCUGAGGUUGAACAAAAUCAGUUGAGAAUCCGCAGAGAACUAGAAACAAGCCACAAGGCAGGAGUGCUCUAUGGAGUUCGACUUAACCAAGAAUCAUCUAGCCUGGGGAUUCUGCCCCACGGACAUGAAGCAAAGAAAAACAGCAGUGAUCUAUCACAACAUGGAGAAAACUAGAAAACAUACCAGAAGAAGCUUCCAGCCUUUCCAAUCUGCUGAUCAACCAGUCGAGGGAGCCAGAAAAUUGAGCACAGUUU
Molecule: non-coding RNA, 367 nt
Organism: Callithrix jacchus (white-tufted-ear marmoset)
Lineage: Eukaryota; Metazoa; Chordata; Mammalia; Primates; Cebidae
Source: RefSeq, a predicted model, not a curated record